GAGACGGGGUGGUGACUUCUCCCUGAGAGCUGAAACCAGCCUUAUCAUGUUAAACAAUAUAGGAAACAACAUACUUUCUGGUCCUUGUGCUAAAUAAUUCUGGGCAAAAGUAUACCUUCCUGAUUUCGUACUUAACAGUCCUGGGACUAGACAAAAUAGCUUAGCCUCUUACUCCAGGAAAUACCUGUUCCCGGAAGAUAAGAUUGUGAACCAAUCGGAAGAACAGCUUUCUCAUCGAUGCGUGCUUCCAGACGCUCCCUCACUGUGCCCACCAAUCUACAGCUAUUACAGCAACAGUCUGCCCAAUCCCAAUGGAAUGGGAGUGUGAGAGAGAAUGGUGUGUCAAGGACGACUCCAAGGUUUUUGACUGAGCAAACUGGGAGAGUGGCGUUGGGGAAGACCAGGGCUCAGCACCAGACAGUGAGUUUGAGAUGUCCGCGACAUAGCCACGUCGAGACGUUUCAUGAGAGUUGCAGAGAUGCUUCACCGUGUCAUGAAGUGGAUGAAAUGAGAUGUGUUUGGCAAUAAGCUUGGAGUUUUUGUCACCGUUGUCAGCACCACCUCGUAAUCAACACUGCUACCACUAAUUAUUCAAUCCUUCCUAUGUGCCAGAUAUGUUAUCUUAUGUAAUUCUCAAAAUAGUCUUAAUGACACAGCUGUCACUUCUAUUUUGUAAAUGAGAAAACAGGCCUCUAGAGAUCUCACUAAUGUUACUUAUUAUAAUUAAUUCAUCAAAUAUUAAUAGAGCACUUAUUAUGUGUCAAAGGGUAUUCUGAGGUUCUACAAAUAUUAUCACAUGUAAUUCUCAAGACAAUCUUAAUAAAGUAAGGUAUCAUUGUCCUUAUUUCACAGAUGAGAAAAA
Molecule: long non-coding RNA, 862 nt
Filed under: Equus caballus (horse)
Lineage: Eukaryota; Metazoa; Chordata; Mammalia; Perissodactyla; Equidae
Description: lncRNA (ENSECAG00000050594.1)
Source: RNAcentral